UACGUAGGGUGCAAGCGUUAUCCGGAAUUAUUGGGCGUAAAGAGCUCGUAGGCGGUUUGUCGCGUCUGCUGUGAAAACUGGAGGCUCAACCUCCAGCCUGCAGUGGGUACGGGCAGACUAGAGUGCGGUAGGGGGAGAUUGGAAUUCCUGGUGUAGCGGUGGAAUGCGCAGAUAUCAGGAGGAACACCGAUGGCGAAGGCAGAUCUCUGGGCCGUAACUGACGCUGAGGAGCGAAAAGCAUGGGGGAGCGAACAGG
This 256-nucleotide ribosomal RNA is filed under the name uncultured bacterium. RNAcentral's name for it is "partial 16S ribosomal RNA". It matches the Rfam family "Bacterial small subunit ribosomal RNA", at positions 524 to 776 of the family's 1533-position model. The record is from RNAcentral.